GAAGGAUCGGGAAUAAAUGAAAAGCAAGGAAGGAAAGGAAAAAGGGGAGAAGGGGGGAAGAACCUCUUCUUCUUCUUCCUCCCUCACUCACGGGAUCCCUUUCAAACUAUUUUCAUCAUAAUUUCCUCAUACGAUAACGAAUAACGUUCUUCCCUCGUGGGCUCUCCUCUAGCGAAUGUCUUGCAGUAGUGAACUGGUGAAUUACGAAUGGCUUGAUCCCUAUUUAGGGUACGUAGGCAGUCUAACAAGGAGGUUAGAUGCAGCCAUAAAGUAUACGAAAGAAAAAAAAAACUACGCAAUUCGAAUCUUGAGUUUUGUUUUGUCCAUAUCCCGGAGGUGGGGUAUGUGUGAUAUACGGGUAUUUGGUGCACGUGUCGAUUCCAGAAGUAUGUCAGGAUUGGGGCGUGACAUCAAUAAUGAAAGGAAGGAGUUGGACCUGAAAAGAAGAUGAAGCUCUUUGCAGGGCUUAUAGAUGAGUCUCGGAAGAUAGUGUCAAAGGGAGUUCUCAAACAAGUGAAGGUGUUUGGAAUCGUACAUCCAAAAAGUACUAUGAGUUCUCCAAAGGCACCACUGCACUGAAUAACCGAAACCUCGAGAGUUGUUUUCCAGGAUGGAAAAAACAUCUUCAUCCAAGUUUGAAUAAAUGACAUCAAGCAGUGGUAAAGGUCGGAAGUAGACAUGAAAGUGAAGCCAAUUACUACUACGAAGUCAGUGUUUUCACAAGUUAUUUUAAAUAUUUAAUUAUAUUAUAUUUAAUUUCAUAAAUUAUUUUCCUUUAAAUUUUGUAAUUAUAUUUUCUAGGCGAGGAAUUGUGUAUGGAGGACAACUUGAAACCCUUUAGUCAUCACGGUUGUUGGAAAAUUUGUAAAGGGUGGGUGUUAUUUCAA
Pyrus x bretschneideri (Chinese white pear) is the source of this 887-nucleotide long non-coding RNA. RefSeq lists it as uncharacterized. The record is from RefSeq and is a predicted model, not a curated record. Lineage: Eukaryota; Viridiplantae; Streptophyta; Magnoliopsida; Rosales; Rosaceae. The transcript has 2 exons.